RNAcentral lists this ribosomal RNA (253 nucleotides) under uncultured bacterium. RNAcentral describes it as "partial 16S ribosomal RNA". It matches the Rfam family "Bacterial small subunit ribosomal RNA", at positions 524 to 776 of the family's 1533-position model. The record is from RNAcentral.
UACGUAGGUGACAAGCGUUGUCCGGAUUUACUGGGCGUAAAGAGCGCGCAGGCGGUCGAUCAAGUCGAGUGUGAAAGCCCCCGGCUCAACUGGGGAGGGUCAUUCGAUACUGAUCGACUCGAAGGCAGGAGAGGGUAGUGGAAUUCCCGGUGUAGUGGUGAAAUGCGUAGAUAUCGGAAGGAACAUCAGUGGCGAAGGCGGGUCUCUGGACAGUUCCUGACGCUGAGGCACGAAGGCCAGGGGAGCAAACGGG